Molecule: non-coding RNA, 3471 nt
Organism: Solanum lycopersicum (tomato)
Lineage: Eukaryota; Viridiplantae; Streptophyta; Magnoliopsida; Solanales; Solanaceae
Source: RefSeq, a predicted model, not a curated record
CCCCAGAAUUUACUUUAUUUUUGAACACUUGUAGAUCUGUUUUUCAUGUCUCUCAGAUCUGAUUGCUUAGCACUAAAUCUGUGAGUUCCACCAACCCAAACCAUGGCAUCACCACAAAACCUUUAUAAGGUUCUGCGAACUAUUUAUCUUUGUCCUCCUCUGUUCACUUAUGGUGCAAGGGACAAGGUGUUCAAGAUCAUUUGGUUAAACAGGCCAAGAAUAUUACUGGAAAAUAUAGGGGCGAAUGGGAGAAAAUUGAUGCUCAAUUGUGUAGUCUGUUAUGGAAAUCUAUUGAUUCAAAGUUGAUGCCUUUGUUUCGACCAUUCCAAACUUGCUUCUUAGUUUGGGAAAAGGCUUGUGGGCAAUAUACAAAUGACAUAUCCCGUUUUUAUAAUGUGAUUUCUCUGUUGAUUAACCUUAAAAAGCAGGCCUCGGACAUGUCAACUUGUCUUGGACAGGUUUAAGUGGUUAUGGAGAAUUAAUGAGUUAAUGCUUGGUACUCCAAAUAUUGAAAAGCAAUUAGAGCAGUGUCAGAAGAUGUUUCUAGCUGUUAUACUUGCUGGACUUCCAUUUGAUCUUACUUUAUUGCGAGAUCAAAUUUUCGCCAGCUUUAUUGUUCCCAUUGUGGAUUGACCUACUUGCUCUAUUGUUACGACUAGUAGCACCACCUAUGUCAUCUAGUCAUCUAGUACCACCUGCACAUUCGUUUGUCCUAGCAUCUCAAACUGCAUUACUGACCAUAGAUCGAAAUGGAGGCUGGCAUGGGAAACGACCAAGAUGUGGUUAUUAUAACAAAUUGGGUCAUACCCGUGAUGUGUGCUACUCUACAUGGUAAACCAAAGAAUGCUCAUGUUGCUCAAACUUAAUACAUUGGUAAUCCCACCAAUCAAUUGUUCUCUCUGUCCGAGGUAGGAUACAAUGACUUUCUUCCGUAUCUGGCGAGUAAGCAGACAUCUUCAUCAAUAACUUUUGUUGCCCAAGUUGGUAAUCUUAUUAAUCAUGUUGCUUGUAUCUCACAAUCCACCACACUUGUCCUUGGGUUAUGGUUCUCUGACCAUGGCAGUCGGAGUCGGUCAAGCCAAUUCCUUACCUUUCUUGGCUCUAAAUAAUGCUCUUUUUGUCCUUGGUUGUCCGUUUAGCCUCUUCCAAUAAGUUGUUUGGCUAAGACUUUAUAUUGUUUUGCCUCAUUUUUAGUGACUUCUUUGUCAUACAAGACCUUAGUACAGGAAGGAUGAUUGGCGAAGGGCAUGAGUAAGAUGAACUUUAUUAUCUCAAUUCUCACAAAUCCAUUAUAGUUUGUCAAUCUCAGACUCUCUUGAUUUAACCCAUAGAUGAUUGGGACACCCUAGUUUAUUCAAACUUCAAAAGAUGGUACCUAGCUUGUCCAAAUUGUCUAAGUUGGAUUGUGAGUCAUGUCUAUUGGGGAAGCACACCCAAGCUACUUUUCCACAUUGUCCUAAUAAUCGUGCGUAGUCACUUUGUCAUUUAGUUAUUGUGAUAUUUGUGGUCUUAUUAGAAUCAAUUCUACAUUGGGUUUUGAAGGUUUUGUUACUUCCAUUGAUGAUUGCUCAAGAUUCACUUGGAUGUACUUAAUGGAAGAUCAUUUUGAAAUAUUUUCCAUAUUUCAAACUGUGCUGAAAUAAAAAAACUAGUUUGGUGUUUCUAUUUGCAUUUUUUGUAGUGAUAAUGCACGCAAAUAUUUAUCAUCUCAAUUUAAACUAUUUAUGUAUUUCCAUGGAUAUUUUCAUCAAACUGUCCAUACACUGCACAACAAAUUGGGAUUGCAGGGAGAAAAAAUCGGCAUAUUGUUGAGACUGCAGACACUAUUCUCAUACAAGCAAAUGUUCCAUUGCGAUUUUGCGGGGACACAAUGCUCACCUCUUGUUAUCUGAUUAACUGUAUGCCUUAUUAUGCUAUUCAUAAUAAGGUACCACACUCUGUUUUGUUUCCAAGUCAACCUUAUUCACUCUUCCACCACAUGUCUUUGGGAGCACAUGCUUUGUCCAUAUAGUCACUCCAUAAAAAGACAAAUUCGCUCCCCGUGCUCUUAAAUGUCUUUCUCAAUUAAAUGGUACAUAAGGGAUAUCGAUGCUUCUCACUUGAACUCCAGCGAUACCUUCCUUAUGUUAGCUGAUGUUACUUUUAUUAAGGUCAAACCUACUUUACAUCCCCUUCUACUCAACAAUUAGACAUUUCUGACAUUUUACCAGUUCUAUCUUUUGGUGAUCCACCAUAGUUUGUCCUUCCACUAUUAACCUAUCAGCGUUGUUCGCGCCCAGAUGAUUCACGCCCUCUGUCAUAAUCGUUGUCUGUUGAGAACUUUUUCUUUUAUGACAAGGAAAAACCUGCAGCUGCUACCCUUUGGGUGUGCACAGGGUAAAACCCUCGCUCCUAUGCAGUAGCUUGCAAAUCACAUAGGAGAGGUAACCCGUACCAGGCAAGCCUGGUGCGACGAGCUCGACCCAUAAGCCAAACCCCUUGCUUUCGCUGGUAAGGGGUUUCGAAUUAGAGACCUCCAACAUGGAAGUCCCAAGCUUAAACCACUGGGCCACCCCGAAGGUAAUCCACUUGUCUACAUAGUCCUUCCAUCGCCACUCGAAAAGGUAACCGCUCAACUCGUAACCCUAAUCCUAUCAAUACUUUUUAAGCUAUCAUCUUUUGUCACCAACCAUUCUCCCUUUGUAUCAUCACUAUCAUCUGUGUCCAUUCGUAAGACUACAUAUGAAGCUCUUUCUCAUCCAAGCUGACAUCAAGCUAUGAUGGAAGAGAUGUCUGCCUUACACUCCAGUGGUACUUGGGAGCUUGUUCGGUGGGUAUAUACGGUGGAUAUAUAUGUGGAGGUUUGCCCCGAUGGAUAGAUUGAUUGCCUAAAAGCUCAUUUUUGGUCUUGACUACGGUGAUAUUUUCUUUCCUGUGGCCAAGAUUGCUUCAGUUUUCUCUUUUUAUCCAUGGCUGUGGUUUCUUCAUGGAGAUCUCGAAGAUGAGGUAUAUGUCGAGCAACCAUUUGGUUUUGUUGCUCGGGGGAGUCUAGCAGCAUGUGUGAAGUCUACGACGAGCACUUUAUGGCCUGAAGCAGUGUCCUCGAGCAUGGUUUGGGAAGUUUAGCAUGAUUAUUCAAGAGUUUGGCAUGCUCUUUCAGAUUAAGGAUCUUGGUCGAUUGAAGUACUUCUUGGGCAUUGAAGUUGCUCAAUCCAAAUCAGAAAUUGCCAUUUCACCAGGGAAGUAUGCACUUGAUAUUCUUGAAGAGAUAGGGAUGACGGAUGGCAAGCCUAUUGAUUCUCCAAUGGAUUCAAAUGUUAAACUUGUACCAAGUAGGGGGAGCCUUUUAGCGAUCCAGGAAGAUAUGGUAGGAAAGUUGAAUAUCUCAUAGUGACUCAACCCCUGAUGUUACCUUCCCGGUUGGUGUCGUCAGUCUGUUCUUGAAUUCUCCUUGUGAGUCAUUGGAUGCAGUUAUUCACAUUAUUCGAUACA